UUGAACGCUGGCGGCAGGCUUCACCCAUGCCAGUCGAGCGGAGAUGAGGUGCUUGCACCUUAUCUUAGCGGCGGACGGGUGAGUAAUGCUUAGGAAUCUGCCAUUUAGUGGGGGACAACAUUCCGAAAGGAAUGCUAAUACCGCAUACGUCCUACGGGAGAAAGCAGGGGAUCUUCGGACCUUGCGCUAAAUGAUGAGCCUAAGUCGGAUUAGCUAGUUGGUGGGGUAAAGGCCUACCAAGGCGACGAUCUGUAGCGGGUCUGAGAGGAUGAUCCGCCACACUGGGACUGAGACACGGCCCAGACUCCUACGGGAGGCAGCAGUGGGGAAUAUUGGACAAUGGGGGGAACCCUGAUCCAGCCAUGCCGCGUGUGUGAAGAAGGCCUUAUGGUUGUAAAGCACUUUAAGCGAGGAGGAGGCUACUGAGACUAAUACUCUUGGAUAGUGGACGUUACUCGCAGAAUAAGCACCGGCUAACUCUGUG
RNAcentral lists this ribosomal RNA (484 nucleotides) under uncultured bacterium. RNAcentral's name for it is "partial 16S ribosomal RNA". It matches the Rfam family "Bacterial small subunit ribosomal RNA", at positions 30 to 507 of the family's 1533-position model. The record is from RNAcentral.